AUGAAGGCGGAGGGGGGCGACGCCUCCAUGAUCAACCUGUCGGUGCAGCAGGUCCUGAGCCUCUGGGCCCACGGGACGGUGCUGAGGAACCUCACGGAGAUGUGGUACUGGAUCUUCCUCUGGGCCCUCUUCUCCUCUCUGUUCGUCCAUGGUGCUGCCGGAGUGCUGAUGUUCGUGAUGCUGCAGAGGCAUCGGCAAGGGAGAGUCAUCUCCGUCAUCGCCGUCAGCAUCGGAUUUCUGGCUUCCGUGACUGGAGCGAUGAUCACUAGUGCCGCCGUGGCCGGCAUUUACCGCGUGGCCGGGAAGAACAUGGCCCCCUUGGAAGCCCUGGUGUGGGGCGUCGGACAGACAGUCCUGACGCUCAUCAUCUCCUUCUCAAGGAUCCUCGCCACACUCUGAGGUUUCUGUGGGAAUGUCUUCACUUCACAUAAGGAAACAGACGUACAGAUUCUCUGAAAACAGCAUCGUUAGCGAGUGGGCAGGAGAUCGUACCAGGACGAGGAAGGAGCAGGUCAAAACACAGGCCUCGGGCCGUGUGGGAAGGUCGCCCUCUGGUGUUCAAUGAUUGCACUACCGCACCGCACCUUACGUGCCUCCGUCCCGGGCAAGGCGCAUUGCUACGCGAAGCUACAAGAAAAAGCACCUUGUUUAGCUGCCAAUCAGGAAAAGAAGUCUGAAAUGCACAUCCUAUUCUUGACCCUUCUGAAGAAAGUUUCUGCCAUGUGUCUCAUGGAGAAAACAUCUUUACAACUAGUAUCUCAGUGGGAUUAUAUUACUUGUUGCAUAUAUCUUGAUUUUUGGCAAAACGUAAGCAGUCUUUCAUCCUGCAGUAUCAAAUAUAUAUAAAGAGUGGCCUAAACUAGGCUGUGAAAACAAGAAGCCUCACUUGUAGUUAAGAAACAAGUCAUAUAGGAAGAAUAAUAAAUGAUCUUAUUUUGUCUGUGUGGUAGCAUCAUAAUUUCUCUAAGUAAAAAUUGGGGAAUAUAGUAAAUUUAAAAUUUGGCAGUUAUUCUCAGCAUAUCAGUACAGUGUUGAACAUAUAUUAAGUGAUUCAUUUCAGUUUUUCAACUCUUGUUUUAUUCUGUUAUUUAAAUUUACUAGCAUCUACAAUGACAUUUAUUAGAAUGAAAAAAAUCAUUAGUAUAAAACAUUUUAAGAGAUUUUGGCAAUAUGUAAUUGUAUUUAAGAGUAUAAGAAGUAAGGGAAGCAUAGAAACUGGUUGAAUUUGUCUCCUAUUGAGACUUUUUUUGAAUAUUAGAUACAAUUAUACAUUGUUGUUUAGUUGCUAAUCACGUCUGACUCUUUGCGACCCCAUAGACUGUAGCCCCUCUCAGGCUCCUC
Non-coding RNA from Odocoileus virginianus texanus, 1341 nucleotides. The record is from RefSeq and is a predicted model, not a curated record. NCBI's taxonomy places the organism in Eukaryota, Metazoa, Chordata, Mammalia, Artiodactyla, Cervidae.